This 73-nucleotide transfer RNA is filed under the name Dipodomys ordii (Ord's kangaroo rat). It matches the Rfam family "tRNA". Rfam says of the family: Transfer RNA (tRNA) molecules are approximately 80 nucleotides in length. Their secondary structure includes four short double-helical elements and three loops (D, anti-codon, and T loops). The record is from Rfam by way of RNAcentral. Lineage: Eukaryota; Metazoa; Chordata; Mammalia; Rodentia; Heteromyidae.
GGAGGCAUGGCUCAAGUGGUAAAGUAUCUACCUAGCAAGCACAAGGCCCUGAGUUCAAACCUCAGUACAACUG